AAGAAGGUAACUAGAACCACUAGGUGGGAAUCCGUUUUAUUCAGACUCUCUCUAUUUUCACUGUAUUUUCUUCACCUUAGAUCUAAGUUUCACUUCAUCGUUUCCUACUUUGCCAUAACCAUGAUGGUUUACCAAGCCAUGCUGUUCCUACAAUGUUGGCUGUUUUGUAGCUACUUUGCAUGCUUUCUUGCUCCAUUUGAUGUAUCAACAACAAGGUUGGUCAGGGC
RNAcentral lists this long non-coding RNA (227 nucleotides) under Elaeis guineensis (African oil palm). Its description in RNAcentral is "long non-coding RNA (EGUI_LNC014132)". Lineage: Eukaryota; Viridiplantae; Streptophyta; Magnoliopsida; Arecales; Arecaceae. The record is from RNAcentral.